This 71-nucleotide transfer RNA is filed under the name Marmota monax (woodchuck). RNAcentral describes it as "tRNA.Ala". Lineage: Eukaryota; Metazoa; Chordata; Mammalia; Rodentia; Sciuridae. The record is from RNAcentral.
GAGGUUGUAGCUCAGUGGUAGAGCAUUUGCCCGGCAUGUGCAAGGCACUGGGUUUGAGCCUCAGCACCACA